CAAGCGUUGUCCGGAAUCAUUGGGCGUAAAGCGCGCGUAGGCGGCCCUGUAAGUCCGUUGUGAAAGUCAAAGGCUCAACCUUUGAAAGCCGAUGGAUACUGCAGGGCUAGAGUCCGGAAGAGGCGAGUGGAAUUCCUGGUGUAGCGGUGGAAUGCGCAGAUAUCAGGAGGAACACCAAUAGCGAAGGCAGCUCGCUGGGACGGUACUGACGCUAAGGCGCGAAAGCGUGGGGAGCGAACAGG
This 242-nucleotide ribosomal RNA is filed under the name uncultured bacterium. RNAcentral describes it as "partial 16S ribosomal RNA". It matches the Rfam family "Bacterial small subunit ribosomal RNA", at positions 535 to 776 of the family's 1533-position model. The record is from RNAcentral.